AAAGUCGUAACAAGGUUUCCGUAGGUGAACCUGCGGAAGGAUCAUUAACGAAUGCGAAACAAUUCGCGGUAAUUUGACCGUGGCCGCCUCGGUGGCCACGGGAAGUCCACACCCGUGCACACAGCGUGAGUGUCUCCCGACAGGGGAGGCGUUCCGCUCCCCUUUACAUUUAACAACGCCUGUAACGAAGCAUGUCUAACGGAGCUCUACGGAGUGCCAAUACUAUAAUACAACUUUCAACAACGGAUCUCUUGGCUUUC
RNAcentral lists this unclassified non-coding RNA (260 nucleotides) under Basidiomycota sp. RNAcentral describes it as "partial contains small subunit ribosomal RNA, internal transcribed spacer 1, and 5.8S ribosomal RNA". The stretch from base 1 to 47 matches the Rfam family "Eukaryotic small subunit ribosomal RNA", at positions 1785 to 1831 of the family's 1831-position model. The record is from RNAcentral. Lineage: Eukaryota; Fungi; Basidiomycota.